This 301-nucleotide ribosomal RNA is filed under the name uncultured bacterium. Its description in RNAcentral is "partial 16S ribosomal RNA". It matches the Rfam family "Bacterial small subunit ribosomal RNA", at positions 509 to 809 of the family's 1533-position model. The record is from RNAcentral.
CAGCCGCCACGGGAAUACAGAGGGUGCGAGCGUUAAUCGGAUUUACUGGGCGUAAAGCGUGCGUAGGCGGCUUCUUAAGUCGGAUGUGAAAUCCCUGAGCUUAACUUAGGAAUUGCAUUCGAUACUGGGAAGCUAGAGUAUGGGAGAGGAUGGUAGAAUUCCAGGUGUAGCGGUGAAAUGCGUAGAGAUCUGGAGGAAUACCGAUGGCGAAGGCAGCCAUCUGGCCUAAUACUGACGCUGAGGUACGAAAGCAUGGGGAGCAAACAGGAUUAGAUACCCCCGUAGUCCCUGUCUCUUAUAU